Molecule: long non-coding RNA, 1808 nt
Organism: Astatotilapia calliptera (eastern happy)
Lineage: Eukaryota; Metazoa; Chordata; Actinopteri; Cichliformes; Cichlidae
Source: Ensembl
GGACCGGCUUGGCACCUCGCCUCCGCCCCUCCAAGGAGGCAAGCAACUGACGGCACAUGCAGUCGUAAACAAAGCGAAGAACAUACAGUGGGUGCCGAAGACUGAUGAAGACGCAAAUGUGACGGGCUGAUUGUUGAAGGACAGAUGCCGUCCUCCUCUGGUUGUCGCUGUGUAGCUCGUCUUCGUCAUCUCCGGCAGAUCUCUAUAAUAAGUCCAGAUUAGAUUAGUGUUCUGACUGCAGCUGACAGCAGCCAUAACUCAAGCUGCUAAACUAGUUUAAAGCUUUUCAAACCUAUUCAUCAACGUUAGAGCCGACGUUGACAACUUUUGGUUUGAUUGAAAACAGAAUGAUGUGAAACAGGAAACCCUGUUUUGUGGUUGUUUUGUCAUCUUUCUUUGGGCUUUUUCUCUUAUUAUGUGGGUUUUGUCUCUUUUUUUAAAACUUUUAUUCUUGUUUUGCAUCUUUUAUCAUUUUCUUUGUGCAUAUUUUUGUGUUCUGUGCGUUUUUGAAGGUAUUUUGUGCUUGUUUGUUCUCAUUUUUUCAUCAUUUUGUGCUUUAUUUUUAAAUUUCUUUGUUUUGUGGUUUGUUUUGUGGACGUUUUCUUUUGCUUUCCAUCACAUGUAACACAUUUUUGUGUCACUUUAUUUUAUGAAAUGUUAUAACUUUUGAAGUUCUUUGGAUUUUAAGUAUUUUCGUGGUUAUUUUGAGACUCUUUGUAGUCAUUUUGUGCCCUUUUGUGGUUACUCUGUUUUCACACAGGACCAUCCCUAUGAACACCAUCUACUCCAAUCAGAGAUGUUAUCAGAUGAUGAUGAUGGCACUUCCAGCUGAUUUCAAACUGAAUUUGGAACAUUACCUGCUCCCAACCAGGAGAUGCCCCAGCAUAAGUUACCAUGGUGGUUUAGCCAGACAACUAUGGAGACCACAAACUGCUGGCUGCCUGGAGCCCACAGGAAAAAACAACCCUCCCUUUUAAUUAGACCAGCUCACCAGAUUAGGCCUCAUUAGGCUGCAACACUGGAGUGCAGCUAAAGCCCGCGUAGGCCUCCAGCGCAUCCCACUUUAAUUGCUUCUGUAAUGGCCUCAGCUCAGGCCUUUGAAAUCCCAUUCCUGUGGGUAAUCAGCCAUGUUUGUCUGAGAACCACAAGCGUUUCUCCCCUACUUACCCCUCAGUCUCAGGCAGCCAGAGCUAGCUCUUUAGCCCAAUCACACACUUGUCACAUGUGAGUCGAAUGACUGAAUUAUUAUUAUUAUUAUUAUUAGUUCUUCUGAAAGAACUCCAAAUACUCAAGAAUCAACAGAGAAAUGAUGGUUUGUACUGCAGCAGAGAGAAUGUCAGCACAAUGAAAACACGUCAGUAUAAAGAGUAAAAAUGUGAACAGUACUGCAGUAAACAUUUAAACUACACAGUAUAUGUCACUGCAGCUGAGUAAUCUUUCCAAACACGGUUACUGCAUGAAGCUUAAACAUGUUCCAGAUGAUACUUCUUUCAUACAGCAUCCUAGGAAAAAGGUACAUCAUGGGUGCUGCCGUGCUACGCCCAGUAGCAGCUGUGCUCCUAGUUGAUCUAAGAGAAAUUUUUACCUGUGUAGAAAUGACUAUGUUUCUAGAAUCUUGACUUUCUUGUUUCGCUUAUGUACUGAGAAAAAAUUUAACUUCAAACUACAACAUAUAAAAAAUAUCUACAGAGUGCUUGAGGAUGACUGUUUGUGCAGUUUGACAUUAAAAACAAAGAACUAACUGAAGCUUGGUUAGGCUGCUUUGUGAUCAUGCCAACAAACAUACUGCCCAACCACUUCUGAAGGAC